Molecule: transfer RNA, 77 nt
Filed under: Streptomyces sp. TS71-3
Lineage: Bacteria; Bacillati; Actinomycetota; Actinomycetes; Kitasatosporales; Streptomycetaceae
Description: tRNA-Leu
Source: RNAcentral
GUCCUGCGUGGCGUGCGUGGUGCCGUCAGGUGGCCUCAGGCGCCGGCCGGGCUCGUUCGGUGUCCGGUGCUGGUUUC